ACAUCGAAGUUCCCACUUGUAGAUUACGAUUCUUCCCCUGUUGCUCCAAGAAAAUCAAUAAACAUGGCGACGACAACAUAUUGUCUUCAUAAUUUUGUUGAUUAUUUUGGGUCAGAAACGGUAAUAUGAUACCAGAUAUUUGACAUCCGUUUAGUAAUUGCGGAAGAAAUCGAAAUAUCUGCAGGCGAAACUUUCAUGAAUGACUUCCCGCUAAUGUCAGUUAAGGUCUGCUCUGUUCCUUGCGUAGGUGUAUCUGUCAAACCGUAUGUUUUGUUGUGGUGUUGAAUCUCGAGAGCAGAUAGUAAAAAGUAAGGUGUUGGCGUUCUGAUCGUAUAACAGUUAGUGAAUAAUAUACGUACAUCGAAAAUUAUUGUCAAAUAUUCGUCAGUAAUUCAGUAAAACAAUAUUACGCGACUUUUAUAGUACAGAGCAGUAACGUCAAAACAAUCCUCGGAUAACGUUUUUGGGGCAUCUGUUAGCUGGUUCAGCAAUAAGAAAAAUAAAACUGCAUGUGAAUUUGGGCUGUUGAAAAUGAGUGAGCACAGACUAUAUAAAACUUCAUCAACUUUGGAUUACAAAUGAUACUGUAAUGGCAUAACAUUCUUGCUUAUCAAUUUGAACAAAAGACAAGCAACACAAUUGUGGUAAUAUAAAAAAGUGUGUAAACAAAACCAUUCUGAGAGUCAAAUUGGCAUCUGAAUUACAUAACGGAAAUAAAAUUUUCAUGAUAUAAAGACCACUUGUGAGCCAAGCUGACAACUCUCACCAUGUGCUCCCAACAGUUACUAGCUCUAAGGGCAGCAUUGACUCAUUAUGGCAUAGAAUCCACAAGACAGCAAAAGAACAUUAAAAGCUCAGCUACCCACAAUGCUAAAAUUGGUGAGAACAAGAUACUAGGCAUGCACACUCCCAGGAGUGGGUGCAGAAUUCACUUUUUUUGGGGGGGGGGGGGGGGGGGAAGCCAUAAGGAUCAGGAGGUUGGACAUGUUCUUACAGGAUUUGAGAGAUUAAUUUUAAAAUAAAAAUACUCCCUCCCUCCCUCUCUCUCUCUCUCUUUCUCUCUCUCUGUAUAUUAUUGAAAUACUGGGCAUUGCAGUAAUGCAUGGAGUUAUCAGCUAUACAGACCACUACUGGGUUGGUGUAGGUGAACAAACAACUGGACAAAAUCUGUCAUCAAGGCACAGUUUACUUUGUGUGACAUGAUGAUGGAUAUACUGUGUGUCCCAUUUCAUCACAUGUAAAUGUUUUGCAUUUAAUGAUACCAAUACUGGCAUGUACUCUGAUGGGAAAGGGGUCUAUCAUUGCUUUACAUACUUUUUUGACAUAUUUGUACCCCUUCAUUGGCAUAUAACACAAGCUUUGUGUCCAAUAGUCAAUACUGUCAUGUACCCACGCCAACUCAGUGGUCCUUUAUGGGCAUUUAAAAAGACAUAUGUGGCACAGUGGCCUCUUUUCUCAUAACCAAGGUAUGGUUUUGGUCAUCAUAUUUUGUUGGUGUCCAUUCAAAACUGUCUUAUCUGAUGCUCUAUGACCUUAUAGCUAACACCAGGGUGCUAAUGAGGUAACUUGAACUGAGUUAUUAUUUCUAGAGAGCUGACAUGGAAACCCAUGAAAACCAAGACCCUCCAAAAUAAAUGGAAUACACAUUGCAUUUGUUCCUGAUUUGAUUAAGAUGGGUCCAGUGAUAUCCAGUAUGUUGCCCUUUCUGUAAACAUAUAUCAGCUAAAUGCCCAGUUUAAUGUCAGAUGAAUCAUACUGUAUGCAACACUCAAUUAAUCCGUUUGAUGACUUCUGAAGAGUGGUGUCUCCGAUGUAGUAAUGCCUAUGGUGCAUUUGAAAAUAUGAAAGAAAACUUCAUUUUUCAAGUUUACAGUCGACCUACUUCAAAGGUCAGAGAACUAAGCAAAUAAAUGACAUAUUUAUGUUGAUAAGAAAAUGUCAUAUGUAAAAAAAAAAAAAAAAGUGUGUAAUGGAAUUAGGCAUAGGUUAACAGCAAAUUAAAAA
This is a long non-coding RNA of Schistocerca cancellata (South American locust), 2004 nucleotides long. RefSeq lists it as uncharacterized. NCBI's taxonomy places the organism in Eukaryota, Metazoa, Arthropoda, Insecta, Orthoptera, Acrididae. The record is from RefSeq and is a predicted model, not a curated record. The transcript is spliced from 2 exons.